Molecule: ribosomal RNA, 464 nt
Filed under: uncultured bacterium
Lineage: Bacteria
Description: partial 16S ribosomal RNA
Rfam family: Bacterial small subunit ribosomal RNA
Source: RNAcentral
GACGAACGCUGGCGGCGUGCUUAACACAUGCAAGUCGAACGGAAAGGCCCAGCUUGCUGGGUGCUCGAGUGGCGAACGGGUGAGUAACACGUGGGUGAUCUGCCUCUAACUUCGGGAUAAGCUUGGGAAACUGGGUCUAAUACCGGAUAGGACAAUCGUUUAGUGUCGGUUGUGGAAAGUUUUUUCGGUUGGGGAUGAGCCCGCGGCCUAUCAGCUUGUUGGUGGGGUAGUGGCCUACCAAGGCGUCGACGGGUAGCCGGCCUGAGAGGGUGGACGGCCACAUUGGGACUGAGAUACGGCCCAGACUCCUACGGGAGGCAGCAGUGGGGAAUAUUGCACAAUGGGCGCAAGCCUGAUGCAGCGACGCCGCGUGGGGGAUGACGGCCUUCGGGUUGUAAACCUCCUUCGACAGGGACGAAGCUUUGGUGACGGUACCUGGAUAAGAAGCACCGGCUAACUACGUG